GACGAACGCUGGCGGCGUGCCUAAUACAUGCAAGUUGAGCGCUGAAGGUUGGUACUUGUACCAACUGGAUGAGCAGCGAACGGGUGAGUAACGCGUGGGGAAUCUGCCUUUGAGCGGGGGACAACAUUUGGAAACGAAUGCUAAUACCGCAUAAAAACUUUAAACACAAGUUUUAAGUUUGAAAGAUGCAAUUGCAUCACUCAAAGAUGAUCCCGCGUUGUAUUAGCUAGUUGGUGAGGUAAAGGCUCACCAAGGCGAUGAUACAUAGCCGACCUGAGAGGGUGAUCGGCCACAUUGGGACUGAGACACGGCCCACACUCCUGCGGGAGGCAGCAGUAGGGAAUCUUCGGCAAUGGACGAAAGUCUGACCGAGCAACGCCGCGUGAGUGAAGAAGGUUUUCGGAUCGUAAAACUCUGUUGGUAGAGAAGAACGUUGGUGAGAGUGGAAAGCUCAUCAAGUGACGGUAACUACCCAGAAAGGGACGGCUAACUACGUG
This 497-nucleotide ribosomal RNA is filed under the name uncultured bacterium. Its description in RNAcentral is "partial 16S ribosomal RNA". It matches the Rfam family "Bacterial small subunit ribosomal RNA", at positions 28 to 507 of the family's 1533-position model. The record is from RNAcentral.